This 462-nucleotide ribosomal RNA is filed under the name uncultured bacterium. RNAcentral's name for it is "bacterial SSU rRNA". It matches the Rfam family "Bacterial small subunit ribosomal RNA", at positions 337 to 797 of the family's 1533-position model. The record is from RNAcentral.
GCCUACGGGGGGCAGCAGUAGGGAAUAUUGGGCAAUGGGCGGAAGCCUGACCCAGCCAUACCGCGUGAAGGAAGGAGGUCCUAUGGAUUGUAAACUUCUUUUAUUAGGGACGAAAAAGCGCUUUUGAGCGAAAUUGACGGUACCUAAGGAAUAAGCCACGGCUAACUACGUGCCAGCAGCCGCGGUAAUACGUAGGUGGCAAGCGUUGUCCGGAUUUACUGGGUUUAAAGGGUGCGUAGGCGGGUUGAUAAGUCUGGAGUGAAAGCUGGUCGCUUAACGAUCAAAUUGCUUUGGAUACUGUCAGUCUUGAAUAUGGUUGAGGUUGCUGGAAUGUGCAGUGUAGCGGUGAAAUGCUUAGAUAUUGCCCAGAACACCAAUUGCGAAGGCAUGUGACCAAGCCAUUAUUGACGCUGAUGCACGAAAGUAUGGGUAGCAAACAGGAUUAGAUACCCCCGUAGUCCC